CUCCCCGACUGCGCGAGCGCGACACCGGGGGCCUUUUACGACAGUUCGGAAAGCAAGCGCGCCGGACCUUCACGCCCUCUCACGUCGGUUAGUACAGCUUAUGGUCUCCAAUGUGGGAGAGUGUUGAACUGGGAAAUGGUGCCAUCUACUGAAGCAGCAUUCCGGAAGCAUCCUAACAACCAGUUCAUUUUGAAGAAUGUGAGGUAUUGAUUUUCUCAAAAAUGUGCACCUCAGGGCCUGUGAGAUGACUCACAGGUGUUCAACUCCCAAACUGAUGACCUGAAUUCAAGCCCCUGAACCCACAUGGUGGAAGGCAAGAACCAAUUCCUAAACGUUGUCCUCUGACUUCCUUCACAUGCAUGGUAUGGUUUCCCCUGUGAACAUUUAAAAAAUGUACAUCAUCAUGCAGCAAAUAUUCUUUAACUUAAUCUCUCCUUUCAGUAAAAGACAGAAGACUGUCCACAUGUGUUUAUCAUACCCAACGUCACCCUGACGAAGGAAUUAAAAAGGUACCAACCUAACACAAGAAAAUGGGACCAGGCCAUUAGCCAUCCAGUCCUCUCCAAUGUCUGGAAGGGCAGUCAGAGAACUGGGCCAGCUCUUGUUGACGUGAAUCUCUGACAGCUUGCACCUGUACUACCUGGAUUAUGAAGUCUCCUAUGCCAUGGUAAAAAUGAGGCUGGAGGAUCGCCCAUGCAGCUUUUAAGGACCAGACAUGAAAGUCGCUUACAUCAGUUCCACCCACAUCCCAUUAGCCAAACUGCUAGGGAGGUUUCAGCCUAACUGCCUCAGCACCAGGGAGAAGAACACACAUAGUUCCCUGCAGCUCUCCAUAGGCUGUGAAGGUGUAGCUUAGUAUGUCUGGCAGAAGUAAGGCCCUGGACUCGGUCUCCAGCACCACAAAAAGGUAAAAAACAAAUGAAUGUAAGGUUAGUGAUGGACAGCAGAGAAGCGUCCCCCAUCCCUAAUAUGUGGCAGAUACAGGAAAAAAGAAAAACGUGGAUGGAAGAAGAGGCCUCCUCAAAUUCCCACACAGAGAUAAUUCAUCAUGUCCAGACACCUAUCCCGAGAAGAAACAUUGUCACCCUCCUUUCCUUCAAUGCAAUAGUAAUACAUACGUAUUGUAAACUAGGCUCACGCCCGUAGCAGGGGCACUUACAGUGGGACAGCUGCUACCCAGUGUGACCGACUUCUGCCUGGGUGAGGACCAUGAAUCAGAUGGAUUUAUUAUGAACCUGUUUUUCCAGUUGUAAAUGUUACUCUAAUUAUGUGGUUUAAUUAUCUAUUACUCAAGUCUAAGAAAUAUAAGUUCCAAAAUUCAAAGAAAAGUCUUCACCCCUUUGAAGAGCCACAGCUAGGCCUGCUUCACGGAAACUUCAGGCAGGCUCACUGAAGCCUUGGGAACAGAACAGCUGUGGAAGUAUGGCCGUGGAAGGGCCGGCUCACCCUGCAGCUGUGCCUGCCUCACCUUGCCCCACUCCAGCUUUGAAGUAAAAUCAAAGGCAACGGCUGGCCUGCCGUCCUGGUGCUCCUGGACUGGAGAGUAUUCAUUUCCUUGGACAACUUGGAUUCCUGACCACCAUGAAGAAUAAAGUUUUGGUAGCAUGAGUGAGGCCUGAAUUUGAUCAAGAGCAAGAGAGAGCAACAGCAAGAGUGAGAGACUGAUUAUUCUUAGACUUUGCGUCCCAUAUAAAAUCCAAAUGAAUUCCUCUAAUCAUACUACAAAUAAAGAGGUUAGUGUUUUGAUUGUAAUUAUAUUGAGUAAGUAAGUUUAGAGUGAACUGAUACCUUUACAAUAUUGAAUGUUUUACAUCUAUGAACUGGAUGUCUCUCCCUUUAUUUAGGUCUUUAAUUCUCCUGAUACUAUUUCACAGUUUCCCAUGUAGUGACUCCCACAGGUUAGUCUGUUUCAAGACACUCGGCAUUCUUUAUGAUAUUGUGAAUGAAUUUGUGUGUGUGUGUGUGUGUGUGUGUGUGUGUGUGUGUGUGUGUGUGUGUUUAGAGACCUGGAACCAGAUUUUGUGACUGGAUAUUGGUAAUUUUAAAGAGUAAGUUUGGGUUUCGUUUUGUCUUGCUAUGUAGCCCAAGCUGGCCUGAAACUCCUUAUCACUCCUGCUUGGCUUUCUGAGUUCUGGAGUGCAGGAAUGCACUGCUACACCCAGUGUUACUGUUUUUGUUUCUCCCCAGAUUUUAUUUUGUUCAAAGAUGGUGCAAUGAAAUGUAAUUGGUUAUUCUAUACUGAUACUGUGUCCAGAAACUUGACAAAUCACCCCCAAAUCCCAACAACCUUUACUGAUAACAUCUAGAUAGAGGCUUGUGAAUCUAUUGUUAUGGCCCCACCCUCGCCCCACCCUGCCCAGUGGCUGCUUUGCUAUGAAGUCACCAUGGUGGUAUGUCUCACCUGGAGGCACAGGCCUAUCAGCCCUCUCCGUAUAUCUCUCCUUCCGGUGUCUUUUGCUUUUUAUAAGGCUUUAUUUUUCUUUCUUUCUUUCUA
Peromyscus leucopus (white-footed mouse) is the source of this 2494-nucleotide long non-coding RNA. RefSeq lists it as uncharacterized. NCBI's taxonomy places the organism in Eukaryota, Metazoa, Chordata, Mammalia, Rodentia, Cricetidae. The record is from RefSeq and is a predicted model, not a curated record. The transcript has 4 exons.